GAAAGUUUUUCUGGUUGAAGAUGACCUCGCGGCCUAUCAGCUUGUUGGUGAGGUAAUGGCUCACCAAGGCGACGACGGGUAGCCGGCCUGAGAGGGCGACCGGCCACACUGGGACUGAGACACGGCCCAGACUCCUACGGGAGGCAGCAGUGGGGAAUAUUGGGCAAUGGAGGAAACUCUGACCCAGCGACGCCGCGUGCGGGAUGAAGGCCUUCGGGUUGUAAACCGCUUUCAGUAGGGAAGAAGCGAAAGUGACGGUACCUACAGAAGAAGCACCGGCUAACUAUGUGCCAGCAGCCGCGGUAAUACAUAGGGUGCAAGCGUUGUCCGGAAUUAUUGGGCGUAAAGAGCUCGUAGGUGGUUUGAUACGUCGGGUGUGAAAUUCAGGGGCUCAACCCCUGACCUGCAUUCGAUACGGUCAAGCUAGAGUUUGGUAGGGGAGACUGGAAUUCCUGGUGUAGCGGUGGAAUGCGCAGAUAUCAGGAGGAACACCGAUGGCGAAGGCAGGUCUCUGGGCCAAUACUGACACUGAGGAGCGAAAGCGUGGGGAGCGAACAGGAUUAGAUACCCUGGUAGUCCACGCCGUAAACGGUGGGCGCUAGUUGUGCGAACCUUCCACGGUUUGUGCGACGCAGCUAACGCAUUAAGCGCCCCGCCUGGGGAGUACGAUCGCAAGAUUAAAACUCAAAGGAAUUGACGGGGCCCCGCACAAGCAGCGGAGCAUGCGGCUUAUUUCGACGCAACGCGAAGAACCUUACCAAGGCUUGACUUAU
Molecule: ribosomal RNA, 773 nt
Filed under: uncultured Actinomycetes bacterium
Lineage: Bacteria; Bacillati; Actinomycetota; Actinomycetes
Description: bacterial SSU rRNA
Rfam family: Bacterial small subunit ribosomal RNA
Source: RNAcentral